CUACGGGUCGCUCCAGUGGGGAAUCUUAGACAAUGGGCGCAAGCCUGAUCUAGCCAUGCCGCGUGAGUGACGAAGGCCUUAGGGUCGUAAAGCUCUUUCGCUAGGGAAGAUAAUGACUGUACCUAGUAAAGAAACCCCGGCUAACUCCGUGCCAGCAGCCGCGGUAAUACGGAGGGGGUUAGCGUUGUUCGGAAUUACUGGGCGUAAAGCGCGCGUAGGCUGAUCAGAAAGUUGGGGGUGAAAUCCCAGGGCGCAACCCUGGAACUGCCUCCAAAACUCCUGGUCUUGAGUUCGAGAGAGGUGAGUGGAAUUCCGAGUGUAGAGGUGAAAUUCGUAGAUAUUCGGAGGAACACCAGUGGCGAAGGCGGCUCACUGGCUCGAUACUGACGCUGAGGUGCGAAAGCGUGGGGAGCAAACAGGAUUAGAUACCCUCGUAGUC
RNAcentral lists this ribosomal RNA (439 nucleotides) under uncultured bacterium. Its description in RNAcentral is "partial 16S ribosomal RNA". It matches the Rfam family "Bacterial small subunit ribosomal RNA", at positions 339 to 795 of the family's 1533-position model. The record is from RNAcentral.